UCAAACUAAACCAUCUCAUUCUGGCUUUUGAGGUGGAUUCUAACCUCGAAAUCUCAGAAGGAGCGGUCUAAGAUGGACGCAGCCUCCAUAGGAUGCAACCUUGCAUUUGAGAAACACCCAUAGAACGGAGAAAGUCAUGGGUUCUGCUGCUAAGGUUGUCAUAAACGUCUUUUAUUCUGCUUACCUGACUCAUGCAGAAUUCUGGCUUGAUGUUUGGUCCACCUGUUAGCUGGCUCUGGUGCUUGGUAGUCUUCUCAAACCUCUGAAUCAAGACCACCAUGAGAGGCCUUCUGAAGACCAUCAUUACGCUUCAGAUCCAGUUGUCUUUACUUUGAGCCUACCACAAUCCCUGUGCACCAGCUAUGGAAAGUGCAGACCAAACUUCUACCUCCACCUAUAGAACUGAACUGGAGUCUAUGAACUAAUGCUGUGUUCGAGACAACUUGGAUGUUGGAUAUUAUUGACCUUAAACCCGUAAGAAGUCAGGAACAGGAAACAAAGUGGAGUAUCCGACCUCUCAACUUGGACCAGAUCGAUCAACACUGACCUCAACGAGAUGCGUCAUUUGACAUUGCAGACAAGAUCCUUUCUCUUUUUAAUGCAGCACUUAAGGAUGAACCACCCUGAUCUACUAAGAUGCACAGAUUCAACUCUGGCCCAGCAUCAUCCCCAUACCUCAUCUGCCAUCAGUUCAAUUUAAUGUCUGUCAAUUGCAAAUGGUAUUUAUUUCAGUUAUAUUACAACUUAAUAUUAAAGGAAUAGUCUACCCUUUUGCCAUAUUAAACUAUGUUAUUACCUCAACCUAGAUGAAUUAAUACAUACCUAUCUUUUUUCAAUGCGUGCACCGUACAGCGCGUUGUGAAUGUGUUAGCAUUUAGCCUAGCCCCAUUCAUU
This is a non-coding RNA of Misgurnus anguillicaudatus (oriental weatherfish), 894 nucleotides long. Lineage: Eukaryota; Metazoa; Chordata; Actinopteri; Cypriniformes; Cobitidae. The record is from RefSeq and is a predicted model, not a curated record.